This 379-nucleotide long non-coding RNA is filed under the name Lathyrus oleraceus (garden pea). RNAcentral describes it as "Pisum sativum (pea) long non-coding RNA (PSAT_LNC037863)". The record is from RNAcentral. Lineage: Eukaryota; Viridiplantae; Streptophyta; Magnoliopsida; Fabales; Fabaceae.
GAGAAUAUGCUCAAAAGAUAACGUCAAGAUAUAGUCAAAUGCUUUUAUCCCUAACUUUUGCAUGGAAUUUUUUAUUCUUUUUGUCCACCGGGAUGUCAUUUUUGCCUAAGUCGCCCUUUCGGGUUUUCAACUUAGCAGGCUUGUAUAUUUUUUUUGUUUAAUCUCUAACUUUUGCAUAGACAUUUCUUUUUUUGGUUCCAUCCAGAUAGACAUUUUUUCCUAGAUUGGUUUUGAUGGAUAUCAAUCUACCGGGCUUUGUAUUCACUUUUUUUCUAGGCAUAAGCAUCAGAAAGUCAUCCCCAUCCAUUAUGGUGAGAAUGAGAUCCCCUCCUGAGAAUUCCUUUUUGACAACAAAGGGUUCUUCAUAGUUGGGAGUCCA